This 134-nucleotide ribosomal RNA is filed under the name Cronobacter universalis NCTC 9529. RNAcentral's name for it is "Large Subunit Ribosomal RNA; lsuRNA; LSU rRNA". It matches the Rfam family "Bacterial large subunit ribosomal RNA", at positions 1366 to 1504 of the family's 2925-position model. Lineage: Bacteria; Pseudomonadati; Pseudomonadota; Gammaproteobacteria; Enterobacterales; Enterobacteriaceae. The record is from RNAcentral.
UAAUCGGGGCAGGGUGAGUCGACCCCUAAGGCGAGGCCGAAAGGCGUAGUCGAUGGGAAACAGGUUAAUAUUCCUGUACUUGGUGUUACUGCGAAGGGGGGACGGAGAAGGCUAUGUCGGCCGGGCGACGGUUG